Molecule: ribosomal RNA, 497 nt
Filed under: uncultured bacterium
Lineage: Bacteria
Description: partial 16S ribosomal RNA
Rfam family: Bacterial small subunit ribosomal RNA
Source: RNAcentral
GAUGAACGCUGGCGGCGUGCCUAAUACAUGCAAGUCGAGCGAACGGACGAGAAGCUUGCUUCUCUGAUGUUAGCGGCGGACGGGUGAGUAACACGUGGAUAACCUACCUAUAAGACUGGGAUAACUUCGGGAAACCGUAGCUAAUACCGGAUAAUAUUUUGAACCGCAUGGUUCAAAAGUGAAGGACGGUCUUGCUGUCACUUAUAGAUGGAUCCGCGCUGCAUUAGCUAGUUGGUAAGGUAACGGCUUACCAAGGCAACGAUGCAUAGCCGACCUGAGAGGGUGAUCGGCCACACUGGAACUGAGACACGGUCCAGACUCCUACGGGAGGCAGCAGUAGGGAAUCUUCCGCAAUGGGCGAAAGCCUGACGGAGCAACGCCGCGUGAGUGAUGAAGGUCUUCGGAUCGUAAAACUCUGUUAUUAGGGAAGAACAUUUGUGUAAUUAACUGUGCACAUCUUGACGGUACCUAAUCAGAAAGCCACGGCUAACUACGUG